AGUGCGGCAUCCCUACACGAUUUAAGUCGAACGGCAGCAUGACUUAGCUUGCUAGUGUUGAUGGCGAGUGGCGAACGGUGAGUAACGCGUAGUGAAUAUACCCUGAAGUGGGGGAUAACCUGGUGGAAACUCAGUGCUAAUACCGCAUAAUGUCUGAGGACGAAAGCUGGGGACCUUCGGGCCUGGUGCUUUAGGAAUAGCCUGCGUCCGAUUAGCUAGUUGGUGGGGUAAAGGCCUACCAAGGCUGUGAUCGGUAGCUGGUCUGAGAGGACGAACAGCCACACUGGGACUGAGACACGGCCCAGACUCCUACGGGAGGCAGCAGUGGGGAAUAUUGGACAAUGGGGGCAACCCUGAUCCAGCGAUGCCGCGUGUGUGAAGAAGGCCUGAGGGUUGUACAGCACUUUCAGCGGGGAGGAGGGCUGAUUGGUUAAGAGCUGAUGAGUUGGACGUUACCCGCAGAAGAAGCACCGGCUAACUCCGUGCCAGCAGCCGCGUGUAAUAACGGAGGAGAUGCGCAGCAGUUAA
RNAcentral lists this ribosomal RNA (528 nucleotides) under uncultured Legionella sp. RNAcentral describes it as "bacterial SSU rRNA". It matches the Rfam family "Bacterial small subunit ribosomal RNA", at positions 39 to 535 of the family's 1533-position model. The record is from RNAcentral. Lineage: Bacteria; Pseudomonadati; Pseudomonadota; Gammaproteobacteria; Legionellales; Legionellaceae.